RNAcentral lists this ribosomal RNA (726 nucleotides) under uncultured bacterium. RNAcentral describes it as "bacterial SSU rRNA". It matches the Rfam family "Bacterial small subunit ribosomal RNA", at positions 8 to 747 of the family's 1533-position model. The record is from RNAcentral.
AGAGUUUGAUCAUGGCUCAGGACGAACGCUGGCGGCGUGCUUAACACAUGCAAGUCGAACGGUGACGGAGAGCUUGCUCUCCUGAUCAGUGGCGAACGGGUGAGUAACACGUGAGCAACCUACCCUUGACUCUGGGAUAACAGUUGGAAACAGCUGCUAAUACCGGAUACGACCCUGACAGACAUCUGUCGGGGUGGAAAGCUCCGACGGUCAAGGAUGGGCUCGCGGCCUAUCAGCUUGUUGGUGAGGUAACGGCUCACCAAGGCGACGACGGGUAGCCGGCCUGAGAGGGCGACCGGCCACACUGGGACUGAGAUACGGCCCAGACUCCUACGGGAGGCAGCAGUGGGGAAUAUUGCACAAUGGGCGAAAGCCUGAUGCAGCAACGCCGCGUGCGGGAUGACGGCCUUCGGGUUGUAAACCGCUUUCAGCAGGGACGAAGCGAAAGUGACGGUACCUGCAGAAGAAGCACCGGCUAACUACGUGCCAGCAGCCGCGGUGAUACGUAGGGUGCGAGCGUUGUCCGGAAUUAUUGGGCGUAAAGAGCUUGUAGGCGGUCUGUUGCGUCGGAAGUGAAAACUCAGGGGCUUACCCCUGAGCCUGCUUUCGAUACGGGCAGACUUGAGGGAUGUAGGGGAGAACGGGAAUUCCUGGUGGAGGGUGGAAUGCGCAGAUAUCAGGAGGAACACCAGUGGCAAGGCUGUUCUCUGGACUUGUCCUGACGCU